Molecule: ribosomal RNA, 157 nt
Filed under: fungal endophyte sp. AP771
Lineage: Eukaryota; Fungi
Description: 5.8S ribosomal RNA
Rfam family: 5.8S ribosomal RNA
About the family: 5.8S ribosomal RNA (5.8S rRNA) is a component of the large subunit of the eukaryotic ribosome. It is transcribed by RNA polymerase I as part of the 45S precursor that also contains 18S and 28S rRNA.
Source: RNAcentral
AAACUUUCAACAACGGAUCUCUUGGUUCUGGCAUCGAUGAAGAACGCAGCGAAAUGCGAUAAGUAAUGUGAAUUGCAGAAUUCAGUGAAUCAUCGAAUCUUUGAACGCACAUUGCGCCCUGUGGUAUUCCGGCAGGCAUGCCUGUUCGAGCGUCAUU